Long non-coding RNA from Hibiscus syriacus, 636 nucleotides. RefSeq lists it as uncharacterized. Lineage: Eukaryota; Viridiplantae; Streptophyta; Magnoliopsida; Malvales; Malvaceae. The transcript is spliced from 5 exons. The record is from RefSeq and is a predicted model, not a curated record.
UGAGGUUUGGUUUGAAAGAUGGAAUAAAUAGCUUCAUUCGAAUCCUAUUAUGCAGAAGAAAAAUUGUUAAGCUCAAGGGGUGUUAAUUUUUGUUGAAAAGAAAGGAGCUUGUUGGGUGCAGAUAUUGAGCAGAUACUCAUGGAAGCGCAGCACAGAUUGACAGCAAUGAGGAUAAUUUGUGGGAAGCUAACUGUAGAGAAAAGAAUGAAGAAAUUGUAACCAGUGGAAUGAAAUUCUUGAACUGUCUGUGGACACGAGAAGAGAGGGAAAUUGUCGUUUUUAGUCACAGCAACUUCUUGCACUAAACCUUUGGUGUUUUUGGCAAUGAUCGUCAUCCAUCUGUGAAGAGUGAAAUAUGCACACAUUGCAGCUUUCCGAAUUGCGAGCUCCGGUCCGGAGUUUUGGUUGAUAGAUGCAUGUUGGGAUCAGAUUGUUCAACGACCAACUAUCCUAGAAAAAUCCCUAGUGGACCUGAUCUUCCCAGCGAUGUUGCCAAUGAGAAGCUUUCGAAUGACGCAGCAGGCAAGUAGCUAUUCAUCUGAAGAGAUGAUGAAGUGGGAGUCUGAGUUUGAUAUCUGCAGUAUGAUCUUCCUUCUUCUUAAAGUAUUCAUGUCUGACAUAUAUUCAGAUACGAGU